Molecule: ribosomal RNA, 253 nt
Filed under: uncultured bacterium
Lineage: Bacteria
Description: partial 16S ribosomal RNA
Rfam family: Bacterial small subunit ribosomal RNA
Source: RNAcentral
UACAGAGGUCCCAAGCGUUGUUCGGAUUCAUUGGGCGUAAAGGGCGCGUAGGCGGGCUGUCAAGUCUGGGGUGAAAUCCCGCGGCUCAACCGUGGAACUGCCUCAGAUACUGACGGCCUCGAGGGAGGUAGGGGCGAGCGGAACUGUGAGUGGAGCGGUGAAAUGCGUUGAUAUUCACAGGAACUCCGGUGGCGAAGGCGGCUCGCUGGACCUCUUCUGACGCUGAGGCGCGAAAGCCAGGGGAGCAAACGGG